GCCAGUGUGGUGUAGUGGCUUGAGCAUUGGACUAUGACUCUGAAGAAUGGGGUUUGAAUCCCCGUUCAGCCA
RNAcentral lists this transfer RNA (72 nucleotides) under Phrynosoma platyrhinos (Desert horned lizard). Its description in RNAcentral is "tRNA-OTHER". Lineage: Eukaryota; Metazoa; Chordata; Lepidosauria; Squamata; Phrynosomatidae. The record is from RNAcentral.